This 253-nucleotide ribosomal RNA is filed under the name uncultured bacterium. RNAcentral's name for it is "partial 16S ribosomal RNA". It matches the Rfam family "Bacterial small subunit ribosomal RNA", at positions 524 to 776 of the family's 1533-position model. The record is from RNAcentral.
UACGUAGGGUGCGAGCGUUGUCCGGAAUUAUUGGACGUAAAGAGCUCGUAGGCGGUCUGUUGCGUCCGCUGUGAAAACUCGGGGCUUAACCCCGAGCCUGCAGUGGAUACGGGCAGACUAGAGGUAGGUAGGGGAGAAUGGAAUUCCCGGUGUAGCGGUGAAAUGCGCAGAUAUCGGGAGGAACACCGGUGGCGAAGGCGGUUCUCUGGGCCUUACCUGACGCUGAGGAGCGAAAGCGUGGGGAGCGAACAGG